This 483-nucleotide ribosomal RNA is filed under the name uncultured bacterium. RNAcentral describes it as "bacterial SSU rRNA". It matches the Rfam family "Bacterial small subunit ribosomal RNA", at positions 28 to 524 of the family's 1533-position model. The record is from RNAcentral.
UUGACGAACGCUGGCGGCGUGCCUAACACAUGCAAGUCGAGCGAUGAAGUUUUCUUCGGAAAACGGAUUAGCGGCGGACGGGUGAGUAACACGUGAGUAACCUGCCUCAAAGAGGGGGAUAGCCUUCCGAAAGGGAGAUUAAUACCGCAUAAUAUCAGAUGAUCGCAUGGUCGACUGAUUAAAGGAGCAAUCCGCUUUGAGAUGGACUCGCGGCGCAUUAGCUAGUUGGUAAGGUAACGGCUUACCAAGGCGACGAUGCGUAGCCGACCUGAGAGGGUGAUCGGCCACAUUGGGACUGAGACACGGCCCAGACUCCUACGGGAGGCAGCAGUGGGGAAUAUUGCGCAAUGGACGAAAGUCUGACGCAGCAACGCCGCGUGGGUGAUGAAGGUCUUCGGAUUGUAAAGCCCUGUCUUCGAGGACGAUAAUGACGGUACCCGAGGAGGAAGCCACGGCUAACUACGUGCCAGCAGCCGCGGUAAU